This 877-nucleotide ribosomal RNA is filed under the name Titaena sp. NLG-2012. RNAcentral describes it as "partial 16S ribosomal RNA". The record is from RNAcentral. Lineage: Eukaryota; Metazoa; Arthropoda; Insecta; Coleoptera; Tenebrionidae.
AUCUUUAAAGUUAAAAAAUUUGGCGGUAUUUUAGUCUGCUCAGAGGAACCUGUUUUUUAAUUGAUAGUCCACGAUAAUUUGUACUUUUGCUUUAAAUUUACAUAUCGUCGUUUUUAAAAAUCUUAGGAAGAAAUUUUUUCAGAUCAAGGUGUAGUUUAUGCAAAAGUUAAGAUGGGUUACAUUAAAAAGUUCAGAUAAAAUGGAUUUGAAAGUAAGCUCUAAAAUAUGUACAUAUUGCCCGUCGCUUUCAUUAUAAUGUGAAAUAAGUCGUAACAAAGUAGGCUUAUUGGAAAAUGAGCCUGGAAUGCAGGCUAGGGCUUGAUUAGCGUUUUAUUUACAUUAAAGGGGUAACUGUGAAAUUCAGUUUGGCUUGAAGUAUAGGUUACUUAAAAUUUUAUUUUAUUUAUUUUGACAAAAAAAUGUAAUGUUUUAUUAUUUUUUAAGAAAAAUUUUGUUAUAGGUUUAAUGUACUGUGAAGGAGCUUUUUUUAUUUUUUAAAAGAAGUCUUUGGUUGAUGUACCUGUGUCUCAGGCUUCAUUAAUUAGAAUUUCCCGAAUCAAAAGGGCCUAAUUUUACUGUGGAAAAAUUAUUUAUAAUUUCUUUUUAGUAAUGAAACGUUAUUCGUUUUUGAAUAUAUCUGGUUUUUUAAGAAAUAAAUUUAAUUAUUUUACAUUUAAUAAGAAAGGUAGGGGAUAAGCUUUUGAUUUUAUUUCUAAAUUGUAUAAUAUCACGAUAAUUUGUAGGAUUAGAAUUUUUCAUUUGUAGUAGUAUGUUAUAAUAAAUUUAUUUAGAUUUUUUAUUAAAAUAUUGGCUUAAAUUUUUUAAGUUGAGUAAUAAUGAUGAAAUUAGUAAGGUUAAUUUAAGGAAUUCGGCAAUU